RNAcentral lists this transfer RNA (73 nucleotides) under Micavibrio aeruginosavorus EPB. RNAcentral's name for it is "tRNA-Ala". It matches the Rfam family "tRNA". From Rfam's summary of the family: Transfer RNA (tRNA) molecules are approximately 80 nucleotides in length. Lineage: Bacteria; Pseudomonadati; Bdellovibrionota; Bdellovibrionia; Bdellovibrionales; Pseudobdellovibrionaceae. The record is from RNAcentral.
GGGCCCUUAGCUCAGCUGGGAGAGCGCUUGCAUGGCAUGCAAGAGGUCGUCGGUUCGAUCCCGAUAGGGUCCA